RNAcentral lists this ribosomal RNA (332 nucleotides) under Nicrophorus nepalensis. RNAcentral's name for it is "partial small subunit ribosomal RNA". The record is from RNAcentral. Lineage: Eukaryota; Metazoa; Arthropoda; Insecta; Coleoptera; Silphidae.
UUAUAAUAUACUAGGGUGAGAUCCCCUGUUUUUUUAAACGUAAAUUAAAGUACCAGAUUUGUAUGUGGGGGUUCUUGAAAAUUAAAGAUUUGGGCGGUAUUGUAGUCUAUUCAGAGGAACCUGUCCGGUAAAUGAUAAUCCACGAUUUAUUUAACUUAUUGUAGAGGUUUGUAAAUCGUCGUCAUUUGAAGAUUUUUAAAAAAUAAUUAAUAUUCAGAAUUUGGUACUAGGGGGUAGCUCAGAUCGAGCUAUUAAAAAAUUAGGGGGGGGGGUGAGUUACCAACGAAGGCUACUAAAAUGGAUUAAUAUUUAAAAAUUAAUUAAUGAGAUAU